This 570-nucleotide ribosomal RNA is filed under the name uncultured Glomeromycotina. RNAcentral describes it as "SSU rRNA". It matches the Rfam family "Eukaryotic small subunit ribosomal RNA", at positions 548 to 1114 of the family's 1831-position model. Lineage: Eukaryota; Fungi; Glomeromycota. The record is from RNAcentral.
UUGGAGGGCAAGUCUGGUGCCAGCAGCCGCGGUAAUUCCAGCUCCAAUAGCGUAUAUUAAAGUUGUUGCAGUUAAAAAGCUCGUAGUUGAAUUUCGGGAUCGACACAUCGGUCGUGCCUUAAGGGGUAUGAACUGGUGUAGUCAGUUUCUCACCUUCUGGAGAACCGCGAUGUCCUUAAUUGGGUGCCGCGAGGAACCAGGACCUUUACUUUGAAAAAAUUAGAGUGUUUAAAGCAGGCAUUUUGCUUGAAUACAUUAGCAUGGAAUAAUAAAAUAGGACGGAUGGUUCUAUUUUGUUGGUUUCUAGGAUCACCGUAAUGAUUAAUAGGGAUAGUUGGGGGCAUUAGUAUUCAAUUGUCAGAGGUGAAAUUCUUGGAUUUAUUGAAGACUAACUACUGCGAAAGCAUUUGCCAAGGAUGUUUUCAUUAAUCAAGAACGAAAGUUAGGGGAUCGAAGACGAUCAGAUACCGUCGUAGUCUUAACCAUAAACUAUGCCGACUAGGAAUCAGACGAUGUUAAUUUUUUAAUGACUCGUUUGGCACCUUACGGGAAACCAAAGUGUUUGGGUUC